AUGUACCACGCGAGCACUGCGGUUCUGAGCGCGCCGUCCGCGCCCGCCUGGCGGUGGUGAGCGCAGUCGUUUUGUUAGUC
Molecule: small RNA, 80 nt
Filed under: Xanthomonas oryzae
Lineage: Bacteria; Pseudomonadati; Pseudomonadota; Gammaproteobacteria; Lysobacterales; Lysobacteraceae
Also listed under: 2 other names
Description: sX9 sRNA
Rfam family: Xanthomonas sRNA sX9
Source: RNAcentral